UACCCAGCACCCCGAGUGGUCGGGACGUUUUAUUGGGCCUAAAGCAUCCGUAGCCGGUUCUACAAGUCUUCCGUUAAAUCCAGCUGCUUAACAGAUGGGCUGCGGAAGAUACUAUGGAGCUAGGAGGCGGGAGAGGCAAGCGGUACUCGAUGGGUAGGGGUAAAAUCCGUUGAUCCAUUGAAGACCACCAGUGGCGAAGGCGGCUUGCCAGAACGCGCUCGACGGUGAGGGGAUGAAAAGCUGGGGGGAGCAAACCGG
RNAcentral lists this ribosomal RNA (258 nucleotides) under uncultured bacterium. Its description in RNAcentral is "partial 16S ribosomal RNA". It matches the Rfam family "Archaeal small subunit ribosomal RNA", at positions 473 to 727 of the family's 1478-position model. The record is from RNAcentral.